This 772-nucleotide long non-coding RNA is filed under the name Mus pahari (shrew mouse). RNAcentral describes it as "lncRNA (MGP_PahariEiJ_G0006419.1)". The record is from RNAcentral. Lineage: Eukaryota; Metazoa; Chordata; Mammalia; Rodentia; Muridae.
AGACCUGUUGCCAAGGCAACAGGCACCAUAUUCCCUACAUCCACUUGGCUCACCUCAUUCUCCACAUAAAUAAGAAAAACACCCCUCCCUCCCUCCCUCUCCCCCUCUUCUCUUUCUGCCACCACCUUCUCUCUCUUUCCCCAAUAAAACCUCUUCCACAUAGAACUGCCUUGGCUUAGUGUGCUAUUAGGCUGCACACAAGCCUGGGGUAUGGAAACCACAUCCAAAGAGGUAAGACUCACAAAGGCGGUGUGUGUUAAACUGCCCUGUGGGAUCCAAGAUGGCGGCAACAAGCCAAGUGCGACUAACCUGUUCCCGAUGUGAUUUCUUUGAGUAACCUUGGUUGUCCUGUAGACGAGACUGGCCUCAAACUCAGUAAAGGGGAGGCCCCAUGGUCAGUGGAGGUGGGCAACGCAAAAAGAACCCAGUGGCUUGCUUCCUGUACAGGGACCACCAGAAUUAAUUUCAACCAUACCUACAUAUUUCUUGGUGAUGGGCAAAGAAAAACAUUUGGAAGAAUUAGUAUGAUUCACCAUAUCUGCAAGGCCCCUGGACAUGUUUCUUGGGGGAGGGGAGAACACUUUUAUCAAAUUUCUUUAUCAAACCUUUAGGUCUUUAAGCUAUGACUCUCAAUGACUAUAUGGCUAUGUUAUGUUCCAAAGCAUCAAAAACUCUAAAAGUCCUUCUGUCAAAUAUCUGAGAUGGAACUUCUUGGUGCCUGAUAUAUAAAUCCAACAUCCUUAAAUAAAACAUCUUCACAGCUACCCACAGA